CUCUCUCUCAUCAUCACCAUCAUCCAACAAAAACCAGAAAACGAACGCUGCAAUCCAACAAAAUCGAAUUCUCUCUCUUGCUCUCUAAAAGAACAAAAAGAAGAGAGAAAAGAGAUCAAGAAUUUUUUACAUUCCUUUUUUUUCUUCCAAUUAUGAGGAGAAAGUGUAGAACGCUUGGAGGAAUUGCAGUUAUGGAGCUAGUUGACGCCGGUGUACAAACGAGUGCCAUGUCCGCAACUGGAACGGUUCAUAAGAAACGCAGAAGAUUGAACGACGACGAAGAGGCUGAAUAUAAUAAAGUAACUUCUUCAACGAACUCAAUUACGUCGUAUAUCCAGUUGAGAAGUCGGAGAAUUUUGGUAGAUCAUCAUCGUCGUGAAGGAAAUCCGUGUUUGAGCGCUAACUCGGAUCAUGAUGAUGAAGUGUCAUGCUCUUCUUGCAAAAUCGGAUCGAGCGAUGAAAGGAUCAAUGUAGAGUUGCCAGAUCUGGAGGACGACAGUAUUGAAGUUGAAACAUUCACGCAUUUCAGCAGCAGCAGCGAGAGUAUGGGAGAAACAACGGCGUUGAGUGAUCUCCGAGCUGAACCAGAAUACCUGGAUUCAACGUCGAGGUCAUCGGAGACGAACUCUCGCCGUAGAUCAACGGUAGAGAAAAUGCCAACCGAAGCUGAACUCGAAGAAUUCUUUGCUCCUGCCGAGAAAAAACUUCAAAAACAAUUUGCAGAAAAGUAUAACUACGAUAUUGUGAAAGAUGAACCUUUGGGAGGGCGUUACGAGUGGAUCCGACUAAAGCCAUGAACAAAAAGUCGAGCAAUCGAUAAUUUAUUUAGGCCAGGCGAUUUAUCUUAGUAAUUUUUCUUUGGAUGUUAUCAUAAAACUGUUAAUUAAGAUGAAGGGGGACAAAAGAUGAAUGAAGAUAAGGAAAGAGUCGAUGGUGCCUGAUGUAGAGCAGAGAAGAUAGAACUGUACACGUGCCAUGCUAAGUGUGUGAGGAACACUUGUUUUGUAUUGGAAUCUUGAUAGUUGGUGCAAAUCUUAUCCCCAAAUCCCCAAUGUACGACCAUAAUUCAUUCCCGUUUUCUAUUGGAGUUUAUCGGUGGGUGGAAA
RNA transcript from Hibiscus syriacus, 1106 nucleotides. It is a transcript of the gene named cyclin-dependent kinase inhibitor 7-like, with no coding region annotated. The transcript has 5 exons. NCBI's taxonomy places the organism in Eukaryota, Viridiplantae, Streptophyta, Magnoliopsida, Malvales, Malvaceae. The record is from RefSeq and is a predicted model, not a curated record.